CAGUGGGGAAUAUUGGGCAAUGGGCGCAAGCCUGACCCAGCCACGCCGCGUGAGUGAUGAAGGCCUUCGGGUCGUAAAGCUCUGUGGGGAGGGACGAAAAAACGCUGGCCAAUAUCCAGCGGACUGACGGUACCUCCUUAGCAAGCACCGGCUAACUCUGUGCCAGCAGCCGCGGUAAUACAGAGGGUGCAAACGUUGCUCGGAAUCAUUGGGCGUAAAGCGCACGUAGGCGGCCCAGCAAGUGGGGAGUGAAAGCCCUCGGCUUAACCGAGGAAGUGCUUUCCAAACUACUGGGCUUGAAUACUGGAGAGGGUCGCGGAAUUCCCGGUGUAGAGGUGAAAUUCGUAGAUAUCGGGAGGAACACCAGUGGCGAAGGCGGCGACCUGGACAGAUAUUGACGCUGAGGUGCGAAAGCGUGGGGAGCAAACAGGAUUAGA
This 437-nucleotide ribosomal RNA is filed under the name uncultured bacterium. RNAcentral's name for it is "bacterial SSU rRNA". It matches the Rfam family "Bacterial small subunit ribosomal RNA", at positions 352 to 782 of the family's 1533-position model. The record is from RNAcentral.